RNAcentral lists this ribosomal RNA (468 nucleotides) under uncultured bacterium. Its description in RNAcentral is "partial 16S ribosomal RNA". It matches the Rfam family "Bacterial small subunit ribosomal RNA", at positions 28 to 507 of the family's 1533-position model. The record is from RNAcentral.
GACGAACGCUGGCGGCGUGCUUAACACAUGCAAGUCGAACGGAAAGGCCCUGCUUUUGUGGGGUGCUCGAGUGGCGAACGGGUGAGUAACACGUGAGUAACCUGCCCUUGACUUUGGGAUAACUUCAGGAAGCUGGGGCUAAUACCGGAUAGGAGCUCCUGCUGCAUGGUGGGGGUUGGAAAGUUUCGGCGGUUGGGGAUGGACUCGCGGCUUAUCAGCUUGUUGGUGGGGUAGUGGCUUACCAAGGCUUUGACGGGUAGCCGGCCUGAGAGGGUGACCGGCCACAUUGGGACUGAGAUACGGACCAGACUGCUACGGGAGGCAGCAGUGGGGAAUAUUGCACAAUGGGCGGAAGCGUGAUGCAGCAACGCCGCGUGCGGGAUGACGGCCUUCGGGUUGUAAACAGAUUUCGAAUGUGACGAAGCGUGAGUGACGGUAAUGGGUAAAGAAGCACCGGCUAACUACGUG